UAGUGUAUUAUGUGGCUAGUAGGCUCCCACAACGUAUAUGAUAUAUAUUUUUUUUUUGAAGGAAACGUAUAUGAUAUAUAUAUACCUCUCCUAUACAAUUAUAUCAAAAUAAAUAAAUACCUCUCCUAUCCUAUGCAAACAAUAUCUCUGGCAAGAAGUCUAUUCAGGAACAAACGUCAAUAUAUAUGAAUCGGGAUCGCAGAUCAAAAAACACAAACCUCAUUUCCUGAAUCGCACCAUCGCUUGAGAGUGAUGACAAUCAUCCAUCUCUGACCUUAGUAUAUUCUGAUUUCUCUCUUCUCUCUCGUUUUUGUUUAUAAUCCUUAUAUUUAUCUUGCACAAUCAAUUUUAAAAAGUAAUUAGGUUUUGUUGUUUCUUAUAUUAUUUAUCGAGAUUUACACCUAACCUUUGUUCUGCAAAGAAACUUGACAGGUGACACAUUUAAGGAAAAUAAUAUACGGCUGAUGGUCAAAUAAAGAUCACGUGGGUUGGAUAUGUACCACAUAGACUUGCCCUAAGUUUGAUCAAAUUUGUUACGAUUUGAAUGUUGUCUUCAAUUUGUGUUUUUUACUUGCUAAACGCCGGCGGCGAUCCUAUUAUUUCUUGCCCUCUCUGAUGGAUUUUCUUUGAAUCGUAAUGAUGUCGGUGCUAUUAGUCCUUGCAACAACUGAUGUUGUUAUCUUAAUGAUAUCUCCAAUUCUGUUUACAGGGAUAUUUAAGAAUAGAUGAUUCGAUUUUCACACCAAAAUAGUUAUUCUAUUUUCUUGUUCUUAUUUUAAAUUUGAUUGGCUUGAUGUAGCCGGUGGAACAAUUUAAAUGAUUCCUACUCACAACCUUGUAUGUAUGGAUUUUGCUAUGUAAACUGAUAAUUAAAAAUUGGUUUCUAUAUGAAGUUACCUCCUUACCUUCUUAAAUUGAUAUCUAUGUGUUUUGCUCUUUUUUGUCGGUGCAUACUAACACAUAAUACUUUGAUAUCAUUAAGAUAUUCUAGUGGAAUAGAAUUAUUGACGGUGAUAAUUACUAUUCUGGAGACAAUAGAUUGGACUUUCAUCCUUGAUUUCAUUACUACUACAGCAAAGGUAUUGUACUUCCUAAGUAAUUUUCAGGGCCUCAAGAUUCAACAAAUGAACUCAACUUCUCCCCUACAUCAACCCGGUUAUCAUCAGUGAAAUGUAUGGCUUUCUCUCAACGCCAACGACGUCAAGAUCCAAUCAACAGAGGAGCUCAAUUCGUCACCAUCAUAGUCUUCCUUAUAAACAGGCGGAUAUCAUAUACAAUCAUGAGGAAUGAGCCCGAAUAAACGCUCAAAACAGCGAGGAUCGAAUAGCCAGAACGCCGCCUCAUUCAAAAGAAAAUUAGCAACAAGUAUAGUAAACACCGCAUGUGACAUCAAAGAAUUUGGAGCUGCACAAAACGCCCCUGGACAUAGCGGCAAUCUUGAAAAGACGACAUACUCUCUCUCGAAGUGAUUCCCCCAUCUUGAAGCAACUCUUUUUCGAAGGAAUAUCAGGUUCUAUAUAUUUUGAGAAAAUAUUCUAUUUGAUUUGAAGAAAAUUUAUCGCCUAAUAUAUGUUGAGAAAAUAUUAUGUUUGAUUAGAAGCAAAUUUAUUGUCCAAUAUAUUUUGAGGAAAUAUAAAAUCAGUUUUACCAAUGUCCAGUUCGCAAGACAACGACAAUGUUACAUCCACAGCGACAACAACAAUCAACAAUUGGGAAGUAGGCGAGCUAGUCCUAGUUUAAUAAGUAGGUGAGCUAGUCCUAGUAAGUAAAGAAAUAGCAUAAUACAACUAUGAUCAUAUUCUAUUGUAAAACAAAUUCUAUUAUUAGGACAAUUAUUUAACAGCUUUAGGUACCCCCGUGGCAGAAGUAAAGUAUAGUAUUAUUAAAAGGUCACACAUGAGGGAUUCUGGCAAGGAAAGUCUUGGUAUUUAAGAGGUCCAAGUGACCCAUCUCUCUUUCCUGGGAACCCCUUUUGUGUACCAUUUACUUUGCGAGCUGAACUCACUACUUAGUAGAAAUAGAAAUAAGAGAAUAAUAGUGCUAGACCCACGUAGAAGAAUAAAAUUGAGCAGAAGAUUUAACUUCAUAGGAGAAAGUACCAGUCAAAUUAGAAUUCAAGUUAGUGGGAAUAAGAGAAGAAGUAUGAAAUUCUGGCUACGUUAGUUUAAAAUGUUUCAACACUCGAUCAGACAGAUUCAGAUGUUUAACAGAAAGUUUGAAACAUUAAACUAACAUCAAACAUUAAAAUCAUAAAACAAGCAGAAAAGAAAGAAGGCACAGAGAUUUGUUAACCCAGUUCGGUGCAACGUCACCUACUCUGGGGGCUACCAAGCCAGGAAGGAAAUCCACUAGUAGAUCGUAUUCAACAAGCUCUCAGCAAACCACGUUUGCACUUGAUGACCUAGACUCUACCCGUAAUGACUUCAGCCUAAGAACUCCUAGACUUGAGAUCUCAUCCCACUUCCUUAUCUCUCUAAUCACAGACUCUGUGAUUUACAAAUCAAUAAUCAAAGUACAAUAGAAGUCACCUUCAAAGACAAUAACAACAUACACCUUUGUUUCACAACAUUAGUGCAGUCUUACAAUCUACCUAUCUCCUUGCUUAAAAGCUCUGGAGUAGUGCACAACUUACAACUCAAGUGACAGUCCUUAACAUGUAUCAAAUGACACACGAAAGGCUCACAAAAAAAUGACUCAAAAUCCUAGACACUCUAUUUUACUUAGUGACGGCUUGAAUGGUCUUCAGGUCUUGCAGUCCUUCCUUCUUAUACUGAAGCAAUUAGGUCAUCAUCAUUUUCGGGCUCCAGAAACAAUCAGGUGAUCAGUUACGAGUCAAUGGUCCAAAUAAGGAAACUUACCAUAACAGGCUUGGUACAUUUAAUUGGACAUUAUGAUCACCUUAAACGAUAUUCCUAAGAAGCUUGCACAAUCUCAGGAACUUAAAGUUGUUCUGAUCUUCUCCUUAAACACGCAGGUUUGACCAAUCAAAGAUUGGCAUGGACUUCCUUAAAUAGCGCAGGCGCGUGCGUAGAAGUAGGCGAGGCGCAGAACACACAGCCAGGCCUUGAUGUCGGAACAUUGUGUUCCACAUCCGAUAUGAAUAUUUGUUUUAGGCAAAAAGAAGCCAACAUACAAAUAUCCAACAAAGUAUAAAAUAAAACGAGUGAAGUGGGCGAGCUAGUUUAAAUCUAAUAAGGAAGUAGCAAGAAGACUUAGUUUCCAAUUUAAUAGAUAAGGAUUAAAAACACAAGGUUAUCAAAUAAGAAAAUUAGCAAGAGAAUGAAAAGAAUAGGAAAGGGAGUAGAAAAUAUGGGUGAGUUAAUAAGAGAAGACAAAGGGUAGUUAUUUCCCAUGAUUGCAUAUGAUUAAAGGCUCCUUUAUUUUACUAACUACUUUGAAAGUAUGUAAGAAUUGUUAUAUUUCAGAAUAAUCAAGGUUGGGAUACUAAACACGGCCACCAAAGAUCAUAUUAACAAAAAGGGACCAAACAGCACGCCAGAAAUAAAUCGCGGAAAAAGAGCACAUAAAAAAAGGUUUUAAAUUAUUGAAACUGAAAUCUAACCGAAGAGAUGUGGAUUGAUUAAAAUGAAAACCAAGACUAUAUAUCGACCAAGUUACCUAACACAAUCCAUUUUGUGCCUUUGUGGUUUAAGUUGGUUGAAUCGAGAAGGUUGAAGGAUUGACUGAAACGACGUACACCCUUAAAUGAGGCAAUCCGAAGAUGAUCAUUUCAUUUUAUGCAUAUCUAUGUACAAGUAUACAAUUUUUGUCAAUCUACGCAACAACAGACAAUCCAUAGACAAUCAUUUAAAUUGUUGCCGAUCUACACACUAAUAAUCAAUCUAGAGACAAUCAUUUUACCCUUUUUUCAUUAA
Medicago truncatula (barrel medic) is the source of this 3875-nucleotide long non-coding RNA. RefSeq lists it as uncharacterized. The record is from RefSeq and is a predicted model, not a curated record. The transcript has 2 exons. Lineage: Eukaryota; Viridiplantae; Streptophyta; Magnoliopsida; Fabales; Fabaceae.